CCCUUAGAUGUUCUGGGCCGCACGCGCGCUACACUGAUGCAUUCAACGAGUCUAAAACCUGCUCUGAUAGGGGUGGGUAAUCUUUUGAAUGUGCAUCGUGAUUGGGAUAGAUGAUUGCAAUUUUUCAUCUUCAACGAGGAAUGCCUAGUAAACGUAAGUCAUCAGCUUGCAUUGAUUACGUCCCUGCCCUUUGUACACACCGCCCGUCGCUCCUACCGAUUGAAUGAUCCGAUGAAUAUCAUGGAUUGAGGAUGCAAGUAGGUUCGCCUAUCUUCAUCUUCGAGAAGUGAAGUAAAUCUUAUCAUUUAGAGGAAGGAGAAGUCGUAACA
Molecule: ribosomal RNA, 329 nt
Filed under: uncultured eukaryote
Lineage: Eukaryota
Description: partial 18S ribosomal RNA
Rfam family: Eukaryotic small subunit ribosomal RNA
Source: RNAcentral